GAUGAACGCUGGCGGCGUGCCUAAUACAUGCAAGUCGAGCGAACAGACGAGGAGCUUGCUCCUCUGACGUUAGCGGCGGACGGGUGAGUAACACGUGGAUAACCUACCUAUAAGACUGGGAUAACUUCGGGAAACCGGCGCUAAUCCCGGAUAAUAUAUUGAACCGCAUGGUUCAAUAGUGAAAGACGGUUUUGCUGUCACUUAUAGAUGGAUCCGCGCCGCAUUAGCUAGUUGGUAAGGUAACGGCUUACCAAGGCAACGAUGCGUAGCCGACCUGAGAGGGGGAUAGGCGACACUGGAACUGAGACACGGUCAAGACUCCUACGGGAGGCAGCAGUAGGGAAUCUGCCGCAAUGGGCGAAAGCCUGACGGAGCAACGCCGAGUGAGUGAUGAAGGUCUUCGGAUCGUAAAACUCUGUUAUUAGGGAAGAACAAAUGUGUAAGUAACUAUGCACGUCUUGACGGUACCUAAUCAGAAAGCCACGGCUAACUACGUG
Molecule: ribosomal RNA, 497 nt
Filed under: uncultured bacterium
Lineage: Bacteria
Description: partial 16S ribosomal RNA
Rfam family: Bacterial small subunit ribosomal RNA
Source: RNAcentral